AGGGCACCACCAGGAGUGGAGCCUGCGGCUUAAUUUGACUCAACACGGGAAAACUCACCCGGCCCGGACACUGGAAGGAUUGACAGAUUGAGAGCUCUUUCUUGAUUCAGUGGGUGGUGGUGCAUGGCCGUUCUUAGUUGGUGGAGUGAUUUGUCUGGUUAAUUCCGAUAACGAACGAGACUCUAGCCUACUAAAUAGACCUCGGCAUUCUUUGUACUGUCGAGGCACUUCUUAGAGGGACAGGCGGCGUUUCAGCCGCAUGAGAAAGAGCAAUAACAGGUCUGUGAUGCCCUUAGAUGUCCGGGGCCGCACGCGCGCUACACUGAAGAGAUCAGCGUGCAUGUGCUUCCUACUCCGAAAGGAGCGGGAAACCGAGUGAACCUUUUUCGUGCUUGGGAUUGGGGAUUGUAAUUAUUCUCCAUGAACGAGGAAUUCCCAGUAAGCACAAGUCAUCAGCUUGUGUUGAUUACGUCCCUGCCCUUUGUACACACCGCCCGUCGCUACUACCGAUUGGAUGUU
Molecule: ribosomal RNA, 519 nt
Filed under: uncultured eukaryote
Lineage: Eukaryota
Description: SSU rRNA
Rfam family: Eukaryotic small subunit ribosomal RNA
Source: RNAcentral